This 220-nucleotide ribosomal RNA is filed under the name uncultured bacterium. RNAcentral's name for it is "partial 16S ribosomal RNA". It matches the Rfam family "Bacterial small subunit ribosomal RNA", at positions 1281 to 1500 of the family's 1533-position model. The record is from RNAcentral.
CACAGUCUCAGUUCAGAUUGUAGGCUGAAACUCGCCUAUAUGAAGUCGGAAUUGCUAGUAAUCGCGGAUCAGCAUGCCGCGGUGAAUACGUUCCCGGGCCUUGUACACACCGCCCGUCACACCAUGAGAGUCGAUAACACCCGAAGCCUGUAGUCUAACAGCAAUGAGGACGCAGUCGAAGGUGGGAUUGAUAAUUAGGGUGAAGUCGUAACAAGGUAAC